GAUCCCCAAUCCUGUCUCCUCUCCAGGAGGUCUUGAUCCUGUUUGGUGUGGGUGAGUGAAAUGGGGCUUGGGAAGGGAAGAGAUCCAUCACAAAUCAUUUUGUAAAUAGGGGAAACUGGGUGUGUGAAGAGGAUGUAAGCAGGUACAUCCCAGAAACACAUCACAGCAGAUCCUUCAGCUGCACCUUCACCCCUGCUCUUCACACUGUCUCCCUCUCUGAAAUAUGCUGAAUAGCUCACAGGCUUCCCGGAGGGGUGGUCACAUGACCUCCCCCUGACCAAUCAGCGUGUUCCAUCCUCCUGGACGCCUGUGAUUGGCUCAGGGCUGGACAAGUGACUAAUGAGGGCAUAAGCUGGAAUCCUGGGGAAUGGAGGUUUAUUUCCGUUAGGAACAGGGACUACCUGAGGCCAGCCUGUGGCAGUGAGAGGGAUGUGACGUCAGCUUGUGGCAGUUGGAGGCCUCGUUCCACAAAGGCAGAGCUACUUGGGUGAGGAUGACAGCAGUAAGCAGAGCUGAGAGGUGGGGAAAGACAACUCCUGCUGACGUCUCUGAGACCCAGCCUCCCGUGGUGCCACAGGAGAGACCCAGCGGACAAUGAAUUGACAGCUCAGCACAGGAAGGCAGGUGAGAGAAUAUCCUGUCACCUCCUUGUGCCCGUAUGUACCUGUUCCUGCCUCAUGGGGAGUUGUGAAGAGGAGGGAUGGAUUGGUGUGCAAAGCAAGGCUGAAGGAGGGCUGUGUGCUGUUGAGAAUGGAGACUCGCCGCUUCACUCCGUCCGUGUGCUGGGUCUGGAGUCCACCCCCUACAUAGUAGGGCCUCAGUGAGCCUGCACUGCAUGUGUGGACGCCGAGGCCAUGGACAAGAACGUUCCAGGCGGUGAUGGCGAGUUGCCGACUCAUUGCUUGCUGAGUCUCUUGUGUGCCCGGCACGGACCCGGGGGGCAGGCCCAGCGCUGACUUGGGGGACAGGCUUGGUGCUGAAUGAGGCACACAGGGAGCACAGAGCCGCUCAGGAGGACAUGUGCUAUGGGGACACGCAGGCCAGGGCCCUCUGGUCACCAGCAGCCUGAGAUGUCUUGGCCAGUGGAAGGAGACUGUGUCCCACCCUACUCAUGGAUGCCCUGCUCUCUCUGGGACUGUGAUGGACAAAUAGAGUGACCAGAGGCAGCUGUAGCCCAGCCAGCCCCAGCCCACACCUCACAGAAGAGGAGAGUCUGUGAGCACAACGUUCUGUCAUCAGAGCCAACUACUGUCCAGCCCUGAGGUGGGGAUGUUUGGAGAUGGAGAGCACAGAGCACUGGUGUGGAUGGUCCCGGAAGCAAGGGGGCUGGCCCAGGCCCCUCUCCCCAGCCUGGCUCCUGACCUCUGUCCUGUGUGUGCCUGACACUCCAGCUUCCUCCUGCCAGAUUGCCUGCUCCCCAGUCCCUGUGGUCACACCCACACAUCAGGACAACUCCCCCCACCAAAGGGGAGAUCCUGACAUCUGCAUGAGAGUCAGGAAACUCAGCUGCACAGGGACCUGAUCACACUGCACACAGGCUUUCACGGGACUUUAUCCUAUUUAUGGGCAUCUCAGUCAUGAUUAUCACAGGCCCCAGGGACCAAAAGUUCCCCUCAGCCCUUCUGAAGAUGUUGGGUAAUGUCAGUGCAGGGAGGUCAUACACACUUUCUGCAUCUCGGCCCUGCAGCGCAGCAAUUGCUGCUGUUGGAAGUCACUGUCCUUAUUCUCUUGGUUGUCUUUGCAUUUAGUUCUGAUUUACUUCUAGUACCACAUGACUGCACGCUUCUUAGACUGGAAAAUACAGCCUCAAUUCUGUUCAGGGAGGAUGCAAAACUGGAGCAUCAGGUUUAUCAACAGGAAUGGGAAGAACCAAAGAGCUGACGAGAACUCUGGCGCCCCCUCACAUGGAGGACAGAAGAGUGGGGCCCCCUCGCACAUGGAGGACAGAAGAGUGGGGCAGGGGACACGCCCAGGAGAGGCAGUCGGGUCUCUGCAGUUGCAGGUGAGAGCCGAGGGGGGGCCUGCAGCCAGGCGGGCCCUCUUCUGGUCGCCAGGCCGCUGCAGACCGUCCUCUGAGCUGGCCAGGGCUUUGGAUACGGUGCUUCUGAAGGCCGUGGAGGUGUGGGAUACCCUCCUGAGUCAAAUCUUGUCAGAGGAUUCACCCCCCAACCACUGCCAGGGAGUGCAUCCUGACCUUUCUUCUUGGGUCAUCCAUGGACUUUACCUGGGUUCCAUUUGUUAUGCCACCUCUUGCUGGGCAGACUAUUAAAUACCUUCUUAUUCUCAGGCAAGCCCUGCUCUUUCUGGCUGUGGCCAGAGGAAAGUGUCUGGGGACACACGCUCAGGCUGCCCAGCGUGGGAGGAGCUCCUGGUGUUGGACACACCCAGGGGCAGCUGCUU
Molecule: non-coding RNA, 2400 nt
Organism: Odocoileus virginianus texanus
Lineage: Eukaryota; Metazoa; Chordata; Mammalia; Artiodactyla; Cervidae
Source: RefSeq, a predicted model, not a curated record